GCACCGGAAGGCGCACCGGAAGGCGCACCGGAAGGCGCGGCGGGACCAAGUGGAACGGGGGAUUUCCCUCAUCUACCUUUCUUUGGGAGAUACGACUGAAACCAACAAAAGCCAAGUUUGGUAAAUAAGAAGUUUAAACAAGUGCUUCUCUGUACAGCUCAUCCACUUCCUCAUCUGUAAACCGAUCCCCCAUGGUUGUCAGCAGCUCUCUCAAGUAAUCUUCCUGUAUGGUGCCUGGAGAAUAAAGAACAAGGGAUCAGAAUACAUACUAUUCUGAGGGUUAAUUACAAAGAAUAUCUAUACUUGACUAAGCAUGUUCUGUAUGUUACAAACUAUAAACAUGCAAAUAUAUGAACUACAGGGUGUCCACCUACUUAAAACAGCCUCAGCAGAGAAGUGCCUAGAAAAAUGCCUAGCUGCUUAGCAGCACUGCUCCGCUCUAUCAUUUGCUCUAUCAUUCUGCCUCCACAUUCAGCUUCUGAUCUCUUGAUAAGAGAGACUAAACCUAUGCCUAAACAAAGUAAUAAAAAGUAUGGUUAAAGA
This 543-nucleotide long non-coding RNA is filed under the name Homo sapiens (human). RNAcentral's name for it is "HSALNT0392508". The record is from RNAcentral. Lineage: Eukaryota; Metazoa; Chordata; Mammalia; Primates; Hominidae.